GAGUCCUUCCUUGGAGAGUGUCCUAGGCCUGGCGGGUUCGUUUAUCUUUUUUCUUUCUCCAGAAUGGAGUGGAAGACACUCUGUCUGAGACCUCAGUUUCAUCUCUGCCUGGAAUAGUCAAGAAGCUCCAUUGAUGCUUGUAAGGGAUUUUCUGCUAGAAUUGAGUCUUCUGUCCCAAAGAACUGUCAGAAGUGACAGAAAUGCACAAGUGGGAGGAGAAAUGUGAUCAGUCACUCAUAAGAGAAAAUGAAAUGAAUGGCUGCAGUAGGAUCACAUACAAUUGGAAGUGUCUUCAGGAAAUGGGAAAAUAUAUCAGAGGUGAAGUGGAGCUGUCUGGCUAAAAUCCUUCCAAUGACAAGAUCCAUGAGUGUCAGUGUAUCUCACUGGGAGUUUUUCCAAAGUAUUUCAAUAAAGCUUUUUGAACAUGGAGAAGAUGAAAAAAACUCACUGCAUUCUCUCCAAUUCACCCCAAUAUAUC
This 478-nucleotide long non-coding RNA is filed under the name Phasianus colchicus (ring-necked pheasant). RNAcentral's name for it is "lncRNA (ENSPCLG00000003433.1)". Lineage: Eukaryota; Metazoa; Chordata; Aves; Galliformes; Phasianidae. The record is from RNAcentral.